GCCCCCGAAUUUGCUUGGCUCCUGGCGUCGGCGGUAGUCUGUGUGUGGCCUGCCCCUCACUGCUUCCUCUGUGGGGACUUGGAGGUGACAGGGACCUGCGGCAGUGUGGUGCCAUGAAGGGGCAUGCAGCAGUACUAGCAGGAGGAGGUGGUCCAGCCAGUCCAGCCGCACUCACCUUUUUUACCACUCUCUGACGCUGUUGCCCGACGUCAUGAUCCAACAAAAAACAGAAGAAGGGACCCACUGCUGCCGGAGAAGAAAGGGGACCCGCUUUUCCUGUCACUGAUGAGAAGGGGGACCCACUACUGCCCGAGGGACCUGCGGCAGUGUGGUGCCAUGAAGGGGCAUGCAGCAGUACUAGCAGGAGGAGGUGGUCCAGCCAGUCCAGCCGCACUCACCUUUUUUACCACUCUCUGACGCUGUUGCCCGACGUCAUGAUCCAACAAAAAACAGAAGAAGGGACCCACUGCUGCCGGAGAAGAAAGGGGACCCGCUUUUCCUGUCACUGAUGAGAAGGGGGACCCACUACUGCCCGAGGUACACAGUGCCGUUUCACUGAAGGGAGGGACGCACAGUGUCACUUGUACUGGGGGCAGGGGGACAGAGCUAAGUACACAGGGUCACCUGUACCCCCUCUCUCAACCCUCCAUCCGUCUCACCUCUCUCUUUUUCUCUCUUUCCCCUCUCUCAACCCUGGUCUCUCUCACCCCCACUGUUUCCCUCUUUCUU
Molecule: long non-coding RNA, 729 nt
Organism: Pseudophryne corroboree (corroboree frog)
Lineage: Eukaryota; Metazoa; Chordata; Amphibia; Anura; Myobatrachidae
Exons: 3
Source: RefSeq, a predicted model, not a curated record